ACGAUGCGGGGCUUGAUCCCAGGGCCCCGGGAUCAUGACCUGAGCUGAAGGCAGACGCUUAACGACUGAGGCACCCAGGCGCCCCAGAUCUUUUAAUUUUUUUUAAGUCAGAUCUUGAUAAUGAAAAAUCCGACCUUGACUAUCAAACUGCCACCGCACAUAGCAAUGAGUGGGGAGCUGGGUCUGGUCUAAGGUGCUCUGGAUGUGCUGCUACUGACUGGCCCCAGGACCAGCAGGACACAGAUCAUCAUGUAUAUGACAUGAGGCCACUGCAGAGUCACCUCACAUCCAGAAUAUCAUUAACUUCAGAGAACAUCGAGAGCAUUAUGCCUGGAAUCGAACGAGUGCUGGGCAGCCAGGCGGACCUCAGCCGAGGUGGGGGAGAGGGACAAAUACAGUAAACCCUGACUAAUGCUCUUUCUUCAAACAACUUUAUUUAGGUGCCGAGGGGUAUCCCCAGAGCUCCGAACACCUUGCCCACACACACUAUGCAGAGCAACUUUAGGUUUACUGAAAACAUGAGCAUAAAAUACAAAGAGUUCUUAAAAACAGUUUCUCCUAUAAUUAACAUCUUGCAUUAGUGUGACACAGUUACAAUUGAUAAGCAAAUAUUGACACAUUUUCAUUAAUAAGUCAGCAUCCCCCCCACUCCUCUCCUUGCCUGUGGCCUGGGAUCUCUUUCAAAGCCGCAAUCUGGGAACAACUGUUUCCUGUUUCACGGGACUCCUGUCCUUAAUUGCCCAUUAUCUAGUGUCUUGCAAACAGUUGUGUGGUAUAUUUUAUCUGUUUUUUUCCCCUGGAGGAAGGGCAGAUUCAUCCUGCAUUAUUCCACCACGGCCGGAAGCUAAGGUCUUUUUGUGUAUCUUUGACACCACGAAGACAGGAUAGACUUACUGUGUUUUGAAGUCUACCAUUAGGUGGCGCUGUUGUACAACUGAGAUGCUUUUCAGAAAAGGCCCCGUACAAAGAAGUUCUUUUAAGAGAUCUAUGAAAUUAUAUAUUUGGUAUUAGUUUGGGUACAAAAGUCUGUCUUGUUGAGCUCUACUUUAUUCCUAUAUCUGUUAUCAUGGAAUUUUUGCUUCAGUGUAAAAUUUAUAAAGAUAUUUUGCCUACAAUCAUACAUGUCAUAGAUUGACUAUGACAAUCUCCUGGGACCCAGUAGGAGAAAUAUUACAGUCGUUAAGGGUAGGUUUCCACGUCUAAGUGGAUUUAGAUAUAUUUAUGAAGGCACUGAUUAACAUUCAUUCCUGACGUGCUGAGAAGAAUAAGAUGUGUUUCCUGCCUCAGAGGGCUCCUGUCCGCAUGGGGGAGACAUAGAUGUGGACCCCCAGUGACCAAGGAGGCAUUCUUCACAGAGCAGGUGACCAUCUAUCAGGGUGCAAAAGAUGUGUAGAAAUUUUCCACUGGAGAAGGGGGCAAAUAACAGUCCGUCCCCAACAGUGGAAAUAUCACGUAGAAGGAGAUAGAUAUUCAAAAUAUCAUAACCAGGUCAGAGAAGAUGGAGUGGGUCCAUGCAAUUAGCAGGAAUAAAAGAGCAAUAGGAAAUAAGGAUAAGGAAGGGGACCAGGACCACAGCAUGAAGGGCCAGAUUUGCUACAUAAGGGCUCAGAUUAUACCUUGUAGCCAGUGGAGAGUAAACAUAGUUAUCAGUUAAGUGAUUAAUAUGAUUAAAAUGGUGUUUUAGACUAGAGUCUCUAAACUACUUGGGCUGAACAGCCUUUAUAAUAAAUGCAGUUUUAGUAAACAUCCAAUAUAUUUAUACAUACAUAUAUAUAUAUAUACACACAUAUGUAGCAUUAUGUAGACACAUGAUGCAGAUUAUAAAAUAUGCAUAAAACUAUGCAGCUUGUGGUAAUAAUGACAUAGACUUUGACAAUUUUGAAUUUUUUACAGAUUAUACAUCAGGUCUGAUUAGAUCCCUGUUUUAUGUUAUAGUGGAGCUAAUUUAAGUGGAAUGGAAGACAUCUGAGUCUCAAUGUUCUCUUGAUCACUUCAAGAAAUUCGACCACGGCAGUGAACUUGCAUUCUUUCUUCAAGCCUGACAUACUGCCAUUUCACACAGAAACAGUAGGAUUGUUCUCCCAAGUCAAUAUUAGAGGCCUAACUUCUUAUUUAUUAAUUUAAGAUAAGUGCAAAUUGGAGACUUACUGUUUUAUUUGUCCCCUGUGGAGCACUGUGCGCGCCUUCGAUGCAUGUGUCCUCACACAUACCCCCGGGCUGGGUGACUCUGGCUGCAGCCCUCCAGAGAGACUGCAGAACGUAGGCAGGAGACCAACACGGACACCAAACAGGAGCUGCUUCUCUGUUGGUAAUCAGAGCAGAGAUCAAUUAAAUCCGAGAUAAACAGUUACAAUCCAAUUCAAAUAAUACAUAUUUCACUUCAGCCUCUUGUAAAUUAACAAAGCAAAAUAUUAAAAAUAAUAAUUAUGUCCCCCAAAGUUCUGGUAUUACGAGUGAACAUGGGUUAGAGUUAUCCUGGAAAGAAAACUUAGUGACUGAUCUCUGGCCAGUGUGUUAGAAACGACAAGACCCCUUCACUGGUGAGGACACAGCAAGAAGUCAGCAGUCCGUGACCCCGAAGAGGGGUUUUGCCAGAAUCCGGCCAUGCUGGCUCCCUGAUCUCAGACUAUCAGCACCCAAAACUGUGAGUAGUAUAUGUCUGUUAGUUACAAGGGGUGUUUUGUUACAGGAGCUCAAAUGGACCAGGACCAAGAACAAAGAUAAACUGGAAUAUUUGACCUAGGUUUUCUGCUGCAGUAUUGCAGAAGAUGCCCGAGGAGACUUGAAUUGGCAUCCAUCUCUCCAUCUUUCUGCCCAACCAUUAGCCCUUGAAAUGAAUAUGGCUACUUCACUGAAGACGCUGAGCUUCUCACAUGUAGCAAGGAGCAUCACACCCCUGCCUCAGUUUUGCAGUUGAAAGUUCCUCAUGGAUUGAAAUUACUGUGAUCUAUCAAAAUUUACUAUGUUGUGGAAAUAAAAUAAAAUCACAUGUCAGGCAAGGAAUGAUGACAACAAUGGACCAGCUUAUUAUGAAGCUUAAAAUGAAAAUGCUUUACUGGAAACAGUCCAUUGGUCUUUUGGAAGAUUGAGAAUAUGUGUCAAAAUCAGAGUGCUGGUGUUCUAUUUAUUCUUAUUGAUGUGGCUGGUUUGCCCCAUGCUUAAGACCCACCUAUCUGGAAUUCUGUAUCCAGAGAAAUCAUCCUUCAAAAGUAAAAGAGAAAUAAAAACUACUUUCUCAGACAAAAAACUGGAGAAAAUUGUUGAUAGUAGACAUGCCUUACAAGAAAUGUCAAAAGGAGAAGGAAAAUGAUGUAUGUCAGAAACGCAGAUAUACAUAUAUGAAGGUGAAAUAAGAUAUUUUGUUUUUAUUAUUGUUAAUUGAUACAAUAGAAAACUAUUCAAGAAUAGCAACAAUGUAUUAGGUGAUUUUAGGUAGAGAUUUUAAGUGAAAUAAAUGACAUCAAUGUUAUCAAAGAUGGGAGGAAGGAAUUGAGGAUAUUCUUUCAUAAGAUACCUGCAAUACCAAUGAAGGGUUAUGAUGUUAUUUGAAAGUGAAUUUCAAUUAGUUGUAAUUAGUUGUAAAUAAAUACUGCAAAUUUUAUAGCAGCCAGGAAAAUAAUUUUAGAAAGAAGGGUAAUUGAUAUGUUAGAGGACAGAGAAAAUGGAAUCAUAUAAAAUGGUCAGUUAAAACCAGAGGGGCAGAAAAAGAAGGGAAGAUUAAAGCAAAGGAAUGAAAGAAGGACAACAAAGAAAAUAGUUAUAAAUAUGGUGGUAGAUUUUAAUCCAAAAUAUCAAUCAUUACUUUAAAAGUGAAUGGUCUAAAUACACCAGUUAAAAGACAGGGAAUGUUAAAGUGGAUAAGAAAAAAAGGCCCAACUAUAUAUUGUCUAUAAAGAAGCCAUUUUAGGGCGCCUGGGUGGCUCAGUUGGUUAAGUGACUGCCUUCGGCUCAGGUCAUGAUCCUGGAGUCCCUGGAUCGAGUCCCGCAUUGGGCUCCCUGCUUGGCAGGGAGUCUGCUUCUCCCUCUGACCCUCCCCCCUCUCAUGUGCUUGCUCUCUCUCAUUCUCUCUCUCAAAUAAAUAAAUAAAAUCUUAAAAAAAAAAAAGAAGCCAUUUUAAAUAUAAGGACACAGAUAGUUAAAGAGGGAGGGGCUAUAGAAAGUUCUACCAUGCUGACAUUAAUCAAAACAAAACUGGGGUAACUAUGUUUCAGGCAAAGAAGACUUCAGAACAAGGAAAAUUAUCAGGAUUAGAGAGAGGUAUUACAUAAUGCAAACAGGGUCCUUAAUAUGCAUGUUCCUAACAACACAGCAUCAAAAUACACAAAGUAAAAUACUGAUAGAACUGAUCAUUACUCUGGGGUGCCUGGGUGGCUCAGUUGGAUUCUUGAUUUUGGCUCAGGUUGUGAUCUCAGGGUGGUGAGAUCAAGCUCCACAUCAUGGUCCCCACUCAGUGGGGAGUCAGCUGGAGAUUCUCUGUCUCCCUCUCCUUCUGCCCCUCUCACCACUUACACUCUCUCUCUCUCAAAUCAAUCAAUCAAUCUUAAAAAAAAGAACUGAUCAUUACUCAUCCUAUGGACAAUAACAGGGCAAUAAAGGAAUUUUUUAUACAACUCUAUGACACAAGUUUGGUAACUUAGAUAAAAUGGACCAAUUGGAUAGAACCACCAAAAUUCAAACAAGAAGAAAUAGAUAAUCUGAAUAGAGUGAUAUCUAUAACAAUUUUGAAUCACUAUUUAAUAAAAUUCCAAAACCAAAAGCACCAGUUCUAGAUGGUUUCACUGAUGAAUUUUACUAAACAUUUAAGGAAGAAAUGACACCAAUUCUCUCCAACGUCUUACCGAAAAUAGAAGCAGAGAGAACACUUUCUAACACAUCCUAUGAAGCUAGCAUUACACCAACCUCCCCCCACACCAAACCAGAUAAAGACAUUAGAAAAAAAGGAAACAACAGACUCAAAUAUCUUCUGAAAAUACAUGCAAAAGUCCUCAAAAGAAUAUUAGCAAAGUGAAUUCAACAGUGAAUAGGAAAUUAUACAUCACGACUAAUGCAAAUAUGCAUGGCUAAAAUCCAAUAAUACCCGAAGCUGGUGAAGAUACAGAAUGACAGGAACUCUCAUUCAUUGCUGGUGGGAAUACAGAAUGGUGCAGUCACUUUGGAAGAUAGUUGGGCAGUUUCUUUCUUUCUUUUUUUUUUUUUUAAAGAUUUUAUUUAUUUAUUUGAGAGAGAGAGAGAGUGAGAGAGCACAAGAGGAGGGAGCGGGAGAGGGAGAAGCAGACUCCCCGCUGAGCAGGGAGCCCGAUGUGGGACUUGAUCCCGGGACUCCAGGAUCAUGACCUGAGCCGAAGGUAGUUGCUUAACCAACUGAGCUACCCAGGCGCCCAGUUGGGCAGUUUCUAAGCAUGGUCUUACCAGCAAACUACUUGGUAUUUACCCAAAUGAGUUGAAAACAUAUCCAUUAACACAUACAAAAAAACCUGCACAUAAAUGUUUAUAGCAGUCUUAUUCAUAGUUGCCCAAACUGGAAGCAAUCAAAAUGUUCAUCAAUAGGAAAUGGAUAAUCAAACUUUGGUACGUCCAUACAGUGGAAUAUUAUUCAGUGACAAAAGGAAAUGAACUAUCAAACCAUAAAAAAAUAUGGAAGACUCUUAAGUGCAUAUUGCUAAGUGAAAUAAGCCAUUUUGAAAAAAUAUACACACACAUAUAUGUAGUAAGAUUUAUUUAUUUAUUUUAGAGAGAGAGUGCACAAGUGAGCAGGGAGGAGUGGAGAGGGAGAGGGAGAGAGAAACUCAAGCAGACUCUGUGCUGAUCAUGGAGCCUGACUUGGGGCUGGAUCUUAGGACUCUUAACUGUCUCUGCCACCCACAUGCCCCCAAAAUACGUAUUUUAUUAUUCCAGUAUAUGUGUCUAUGUCAUUCUGGAAAACUAUAGAGACGUAAAAAACUGUAGAGAUAAUGAAAAAGAUCAGUGGUUACAGGGGUUGGGGGAAUGAGAGGAAGGAUGAGGAUGUGAAGCACAAGGCAGUGAAACUAUUCUCUGAUACUAAAAUGACAUAUGAAAUUGUACAACCUUACUGUAAACUAUGGAUUUUUAUUUAAUAAUAAUAUACUAAUAUUGUGUCAUUAACUUGAACAAAUGUACCAUGCUAAUCCAAGUUGUUAAUAAUAGAGGAAACUGUGGGUGAGGGUAUGGGAGCUUUGUGUUAUCUGCUUGAUUUUUCCGCAAAUGUAAACCUGCUCUAAAAGUAAAGUCUAUCAACUAUAGAAAACAAAAAUAUUAAAAAUCUCAAUACAAGUUUCAUUUCAGUUUGCCUAUAACAUACUCCAGAAUCCAUUUCAUUGAAACAAAUUUCAGUUUUGAAGUAAUCGGAUUGUCCAAAAGAGGGUGCCAAAGACUUACAAAGAUAUCUUCUUUGGUUAUGCAAGAGGAAGUUAAAUAAUAACAUAGAAUUAAUAGAAUAAAAAACCCGAAGGCUGUAACAUAAGUCAACAGGCAUCACACUUGCUGUAUCUUGCCCAUAACUUCUGUCUUCCUUCCUUAGGACUCAGAUCCAUUACCUUUGUUCUUUGGUGCUGCUUCUUUGUUGUCUGUGAUGGUGUAAUACACCCUGAUGGUGCACAGCUGUGACCUGGACUCCAGUGAGACCUGAAGGAAGCUGGAGAAAGACACAGCGAGAGAGGGAACACAAGCAGGGGGAGUGGGAGAGGGAGAAGCAGACUCCCUGCCGAGCAGGGAGCCCGAUGCGGGACUCGAUCCAGGGACUCCAGGAUCAUGACCUGAGCCGAAGGCAGUCGCUUAACCAACUGAGGUAUUUCUGUUUUAAAUGGAGAUGUCCUCUGACUGACAUCUGGGCAUACUUCUUGCAAAUCUCAGAGCCAGCUACAUGUUGAGGUUCAGCUCAGUUCUAGUGAUGUGGCGAUUUGAGUUAUCUUGAGCUAUCUUUGGUGCUCUAUUAGCGGCCAUGCUUUAAUUUCAGGAAGGCUUUCUUCUCUGUAGGAAGGAAGCCUGGAGUGACGGAAUUAUCCUCUCGGAGUACAUUUCCUCUUCAUUCUGUUUUCAAAAUGUUUCUUUCCAGAAGAAAAAAAUUACAUCCUUAUGAUAGGGGGAGGAGGUUUGGAUGAAAGGACUAUUCAUUUGUUUAUUAUAUUCCUUCUCAGAAGAUGUGGCUAAAGUAGGUUUUGUAGUUAUUUUCAUAAUUAUUUUAGUGAGAAGGAUUUAUAGUACAUAUUUUAUUUUGUCGAGUGAGAAUAUUAUAGCAUACACACACUGCCUCCCCAGACUUUUCCCAAAACGACUAACAGUAUCAACUUAAUAACAAUAUUAAUUUAAUACCAAAAUGCAAGAAUAUUAUUAUCAACUCCAUCAUUUACUAGCUGUAAGAGCUUGGUCAGGUUAAUAUCUCUUUUUAUUUAUAAAAUAAGGUAACUGUGAAUAUCAAGUGAGAUAAAUAUAUACAAUAUACAUAUAUUUAUUAUAUAUUAUAUAAACUAUACAUAAUAUAUAUCAUAUGCUGUAUAAAUUAUGUAUAACACAUAUAUCUUUAUUACAUGUAUACAUAUGUAUGUGUGUGUGUAUAUAUAUAUGUGUGUGUGUAUAUAUAUAUGUGUAUAUAUAUAUAUAUAUCAUGGCCUAUGGUAAAUACUCAAUAUGUGUUAGCAUAUUUAAGUUUUUGUCAUUAUUAGUUGUCCCUUAGUAAUAUUUUUGAAUACAUUCAUUUUUAAGGAAAGCCCACUGCUUGUAUUUAUUUUUCUUAGUUUGGAUUCUCCCCAAAGCAGACCCUGAGAUGUGAAGUAGGGAAGCAAAGGGGACAUUGGUAGGAAACUGGUAGGAAGGGAAGGACCAAAGGGAACCAAAUGAAGGGGGAACCCCUAGGCCAGUUGCCAUCAUGGGCCUACUGGAGCAUGAUCCCACAAGGAAUCUCUGGGAAAAGUGCAAAACACAUGCUUCAGAAUUUACUAGUAAAUGGGCUGUGAAGCUAAGCAAAACAACUCCUGAUAGUCAUUUGUUGAGGACCGUUCCUUGGACUGCUCCUUCCCCAGCACUUCCUACCUGCCAGGCAGGUGUGCAGGCAGUGGCCCUCAGGGGCCAUACUGUAGAGACAGGCUGUGGGAAGUCUCCUGGGGCGUCUUGAAAGGUAGGGCACUGACGCUGUCUGCUACCGCCAUGAACUGUUGAAAACCUGGCCUUCAACAUGGCUUAGGAACUACUGGGGAACACUAUGAGCGUCUUAUCAUAUUCCCUGUUCCACAGGUGGACAGGUGGAUUAAUUAGGCUGUACCAAAUACUACAUUUUAUAUAAACCACAUUCCAUUCUAAGUAGAAUCUAGUUAGCCCAUUGGAAUAAAAAAAAAACCCAUGACUCUGGACCACAACAAAUCAUGUGUUUUAUUUUUUAUUUAUUUUCAAAUUUUUUAUGAUGAAAAUUUCACACAUAUAUAAAGAAGGAAUAAUAUGGUGAUCAGCCACAUAUUCAUCGUCCUGGUUCAAAAAUUUUGUUUCAAAAAUAAAUCUACCCCACUCCCACCUAGAUGAAUUUUAAAUAAAUUAUAUUGUUUUGUUCAUGAAUAUUUCAGUGUAUAUCUAUAAAAUAUAAAAGUAAUUUCAUUGUUAGGCUUAAAUUGUUAACAGUAGUUAAUACAAUCAAAUACCUGGUCCUUGUGUAAAUUUUCCUGUCUUCCUUUUCUCUUUCUUUCUUUCUUCUCUUUCCUUCCUUCCUUCCUUCCUUCUUUUCUUUUCUUUUCUUUUUUCUUUUCUUUUCUUUUCUUUUCUUUUCUUUCUUUCUUUCUUUCUUUCUUUCUUUCUUUCUUUCUUUCUUUCUUUCUUCCUUUCUUUUCUUCAGCUGGGGCAAAAUAAUAAGGACCUAAAUGGCUCCAUAUCACACUUGAUUGAUAGGUUUUUUUAAGUCUCUCUGAAUCCACGGAUUCCAUCCUUUUCUUUUUUUGUUUUGUUUUGUUUUAAUUCAUUUAUUUUUGGUGCUGUACCUUCUUCUGGAUCAGUGUCAUGCCCUGCCCUUGGUUUUCAGUAGUUGUUGACUGGAGAAAAUAAAUAUCUUCUCAUCUCAUUAGAUUAGUGGCAUGUCCAUUUCAGGUGCCAUUUCAAUAACUGGUCUAAUCAUGUGCUGGACAUGGAGAUGCCCAGGCCUGUGCUCUGAAGUGAUAAGGUGAGAUGCAGUGAUGAUUGAAAAUAGAAAAGAAAAAAAUGGAUGAAUUUGACUACAUGGCCUUGGAGAAAACAGUUGACUUUCCUCUAUUAUCAAAAAUUAUCAUGGCGCCUGGGUGACUCAGUCGGUUAAGUGUCUGACUCUUGAUUUCCGCUCAGGUCAUGAUAUCAGGGUCGUGAGAUUGAGCACUGCAUCAGGCUCUGUGCUGGGUGUAGAGUUUGCUUAGGAUUCUCUCUCUCCCUCUCCCUCUGCCCCUCCCUGCUUACGUAUGUGCUCUUUCUCUCUAAUAAAAAAAAAAUUAUCAGAUACCAAAUGUUGAUAUUAACAUUAUCAGAAUGUCACUAACAAAACUUCUUGACAGAGCUUGGCCUUAUCCCCAGAGAGCUUACAUCUCAGAGAUCACAAAACAGCCUAAUUUAACUAUUAAUCGACAUUUAAAAAUAAUGUGCUAAUUGCAUAAAAUGUUUUUAAAUACAAAAUUUAAGUGGUUAUACUGUAAUUAGUGGGAAGGAAUGUUCAUGGAUCAGCUAUUAACACUCUAAUUUAAAAUCUUAAUAUAAAAACUGUGUUUCAAUGGUUC
Long non-coding RNA from Mirounga angustirostris (Northern elephant seal), 9737 nucleotides. RefSeq lists it as uncharacterized. The transcript is spliced from 5 exons. The record is from RefSeq and is a predicted model, not a curated record. Lineage: Eukaryota; Metazoa; Chordata; Mammalia; Carnivora; Phocidae.